Molecule: ribosomal RNA, 253 nt
Filed under: uncultured bacterium
Lineage: Bacteria
Description: partial 16S ribosomal RNA
Rfam family: Bacterial small subunit ribosomal RNA
Source: RNAcentral
UACGUAGGUGGCGAGCGUUGUCCGGAUUUACUGGGCGUAAAGGGAGCGUAGGCGGACUUUUAAGUGAGAUGUGAAAUACUCGGGCUCAACUUGAGUGCUGCAUUUCAAACUGGAAGUCUAGAGUGCAGGAGAGGAGAAUGGAAUUCCUAGUGUAGCGGUGAAAUGCGUAGAGAUUAGGAAGAACACCAGUGGCGAAGGCGAUUCUCUGGACUGUGACUGACGCUGAGGCACGAAAGCGUGGGGAGCAAAUAGG